UGGGGAAUAUUGCACAAUGGGCGAAAGCCUGAUGCAGCAACGCCGCGUGAGCGAUGAAGGCCUUCGGGUCGUAAAGCUCUGUCCUCAAGGAAGAUAAUGACGGUACUUGAGGAGGAAGCCCCGGCUAACUACGUGCCAGCAGCCGCGGUAAUACGUAGGGGGCAAGCGUUAUCCGGAUUUACUGGGUGUAAAGGGAGCGCAGACGGCAGUGCAAGUCUUAUGUGAAAGCCCGGGGCUCAACCCCGGAACUGCAUUGGAAACUGUACAGCUCGAGUGUCGGAGGGGUAAGCGGAAUUCCUAGUGUAGCGGUGAAAUGCGUAGAUAUUAGGAGGAACACCGGUGGCGAAGGCGGCUUACUGGACGAUAACUGACGCUGAGGCUCGAAAGCGUGGGGAGCAAACAGG
Molecule: ribosomal RNA, 404 nt
Filed under: uncultured prokaryote
Description: bacterial SSU rRNA
Rfam family: Bacterial small subunit ribosomal RNA
Source: RNAcentral